RNAcentral lists this ribosomal RNA (612 nucleotides) under Bacillota bacterium. Its description in RNAcentral is "bacterial SSU rRNA". It matches the Rfam family "Bacterial small subunit ribosomal RNA", at positions 939 to 1533 of the family's 1533-position model. Lineage: Bacteria; Bacillati; Bacillota. The record is from RNAcentral.
AUGUGGUUUAAUUCGAAGCAACGCGCAGAACCUUACCAGGGCUUGACAUCCCCUGACAGCCGUGGAAACACGGUCUCCGCGCUUUGCGCGGCAGGGAGACAGGUGCUGCAUGGUUGUCGUCAGCUCGUGCCGUGAGGUGUUGGGUUAAGUCCCGCAACGAGCGCAACCCUCGUCCCUUGUUGCCAUCGGGUGAUGCCGGGCACUCAAGGGAGACCGCCGGAGACGAUCCGGAGGAAGGUGGGGAUGACGUCAAAUCAUCAUGGCCUUCAUGCCCUGGGCCACACACGUGCUACAAUGGCCGGUACAACGGGCUGCGAAGGAGCGAUCCGGAGCCAAUCCCUAAAAACCGGUCCCAGUUCGGAUUGCAGGCUGCAACCCGCCUGCAUGAAGUCGGAAUUGCUAGUAAUCGCGGAUCAGAACGCCGCGGUGAAUACGUUCCCGGGCCUUGUACACACCGCCCGUCACACCACGAGAGUUGGCAACACCCGAAGCCGGUGGAGCCAACCCCGAAAGGGGAGGCAGCCGUCGAAGGUGGGGUCGAUGAUUGGGGUGAAGUCGUAACAAGGUAGCCGUAUCGGAAGGUGCGGCUGGAUCACCUCCUUUCUAAGGAGA